ACCCCCACCCCACCACCAGCAUGGAAAAGUUGUCUUCCACGAAACCAGUCCUUGGUGCCAAAAAGGUUGGGAACCACUGUCUUAGACAACCAUCAUUUAGCAAGAGCACUUUAAGUUAGGUAAUGCUGUUGUAAAUGCUCACAUGCCUUGGAAGAUUAAAGGCACUAUCAACUGUUUUUUUAAAUCUCAGGUCUCAAAAAAGAAAACAAAAUAAAACAGAAUCUCAGAGAAGUGAGGUGUUGUGCCCAAAACCACAUAGCUGUUACUUGGCAAUGCUAGGCUUCAAUCGAAGUCCUCUCUCAGUCCAUUACACUACAUGGUUCCUUUCUGAACUAUCCUCCCGUCAAGCUGACCAGCAUUCACCGAAGAAGCAGCUAGAGAACAAUAGAUCACAUCGGGUAAUUGCAUGCCUCGGCCACACAGGGAGCCCAGGCUCAGUCUUUCAGGGGUCAAAAGAGAAAACCAGUUAGGGACUUGGCCUGCAAGAGCUUCCAGGAGAGCAGCCAGAGAUGACACAAGAACAUUCUGUGGUCACCCAGUGGUGUGCAAGAAAGGAGAUCCAGAAUCCAGGACACAUUCUUAACCAAGUGGUUCACCCUCUAGGGAGUUCUUAUCUUGGUGAUAUGGCUUAGACUGUGGGCCCCCAAAUCUCAGGCUGCAAACAGGUAUGGUCCCUGGUCCUUUAGGAACCAGGCUGCACAGUAGGAGGUGAGCAGCAGGCAAGGGAGCAUCACUGCCUGAGCUCUGCUUCCUGUCAGAUCAGUGGCAUUUCUCAAAGGAGCGCAAACUGUAUUGUGAACUGCGCACAAGGGAUUUCAGUUGCAGGCUCCUUAUAAGAAUCUAACGAAUGCCUGAUGAUCUGAGGUGGAAAUGUUUGAUCCCAAAACCAUCCCCCCUGCCCUACCACCACCAUGGAAAAGUUGUCUUCCAUGAAACCAGUCCCUGGUGCCAAAAAGGUUGGGGACCACUGGCUUAGACAGCCACCUUUUAGCAAGAGCACUUUGAGUUAGGGAAUGCUGUUGUAAAUACUCACAUGCCUGGGAAAAUUAAAGGCACCAUCAACAGUUUUUUCAAUCUCAGCGGGAAUUUGUCUAAUCAACUUCCUUUUUCCCAACCCUAAAUUGGAAUUAACUGAAUAAGUAGGCUUUUUUAAAGGGGAAGAGACAACUUUGAAGGAUAGACCUGCAGAUGAAGUGGGUGGGCUGGUGGGGUGCUAACCUCCAAUGAGGUAGAAAGUGGUCAAUGAAGAGCACAGAAGUGAUAGCCUAUAUGCCCUCUGUCGGCCUCCAGCUCCCCAUCACUCCUGUCCAUUUCAAUGGCAGUAGAUCCCCAGUUGACCAGUUGUCUCCCUUCCCGGUGUUCCUGCCCUAGAGUAGACCUCUGUUACCUCCCACCUACAACUGCUGUCGUAGUUGCCUAAGUUGCCUCCUCCCUUGAGUAAAAAGAAAAUGAGCUCCUUGGAGACUGGCCACCCAACCUCUUUUCAUCUGUGUGUUAGGUGUCUGCAGGGCUGGUUCGUUUCUAGAGGCUCUAAGGGAGAGUCCUGCCGUUUCCAGCUUCUAGAGGCCUUCCUUAUUCCUUGACUCAUGUCACCUUUGCUCUUCUGCCUCCAUCCUCGAGUUGUCUUCCUCUGUCUGAUCGCCUGCCUCUCUCUUAUGAAGGCCCUGUGAUUACAUUAGGACCACUCAGACAAUCCAAAAUAAUCUUCCCAUCUCAAGAUCUUUAAUUUGAUAACAUCUGCAGAAUCCCUUUUGCCAUAAAAGGCAACAAUCACAGAUUCUAGGAAUAAGGAUGUGGACCUCUUUGCUGGGACAUUACUCAGCAAACCACAAUUUGUUUUCCCAUUGCACAUGGUUGGCUUAGUAGAUAGCAUUCCUUUAAGUGAAAAGAAUAGAGUGGUGACUAUGGGAGUGGAGGAAGAGAUGGAUAUCAGAUGCCACCAUCUGCUAAGCACUUACCAGGCAUUGGGUCUGCUGGGACACUGGGAGGAACAGGUAUCAUCUGUCCUGGGGAGGGGAUAUGGGAGAGAGGGUCACAGUCCCAUGCGGGAGAUGGACAUAUCCUCAACUGAUUAUCACACACACCACAGUAGGAAGUAAAUGACAUCAAUUCUGACUCAGAGGAGUGGGAUUUUAAAAGAUGAGUGGAAUCUGAGUAGUUUCUGCCUGAAGGGAAGAUAUUCCAGACAGAGGUAACAACAUAAAUCAAGGUAGAGCAGUAAAAAUGGUAUGCCAGGAUCAACAUUCUCAAAAGGGAACAAAGGUGACAGGACCUAUCUACCUGAACUAUGUUUACAGGAACAAAUGGCUAGUUGAGUGACCAUUCUAAAUCUUCCAGGAAAAAGACAGUGGUGAAGAAAAUGUGUCCGCUUAAAUUCCAGACUGAUAAAUGAAGGGGAAUCUCAUAAGAGCCACAUUUAAAACCAGCUUGUCCUUUUUGUUAUUUUUGUUGUGGCUGUUGAGAAAAAACUGGCCCUCCGUCAGGGAAUAAACUUAUUUCAAGAGGAGAGAAAAUGAGGUACCUGGGGCAACUGUAAACCAGAGUUUCAUAGUUGACCCAUUUAUUUAUAAUUUUAGGAAAUUUCAUCUCACUCUGUCCCAGGGAUGAUAACCAGAAGAAUGUUUACUGUUUCAAAUCCAAGUUUUAUUUGAGGUGAAAAACUUUGUAAUGUUCCUUCUCACCUGCUUCCUGGUCACGCUUCUAUUCCAUCCUAUCUCUUUUUCUUCCAGCCGUCUCUUCAUCUUUGUCAUUCCUCCAGUUUGAGAAAUGGCAGAGCAGAUAACAGAUCUUCCAUCCUUGCCAACUCUACUCCAAGGUAGCUUCAAGCUCCGCCCUCUAUGCUCCCGUUCCACUAAGAUGGCUGUUCUCACCUCAGAGCAGUGUCCUCUCCCCCACCUCCCCACCCCGACCUCCACAUCUCCCAGGAGACCUCCGAGUCCCUUGGAGGUGGGCCUUUCAGUCCAGUGCCCACAUUGUACCUACAAGAUUCCAGAACUCCAAGAGCAGAGAAUACUGGGUUGGGGCAAAAGUAAUUGCAAUUUUUGCCAUGAUGGCAAAAUAAUUCAGCCAUUGCUUCUGCAGCUGGUAGGUGCUCAAACCAUUUUUGUCUUGAGUGCCUGAAAAGCUGAGCCCAGAAGGGAGUGGGACUGGGCUGAUGGUCAGCCACAGCCUGAGGCCGUUCCUAGCCUUGUGUUCCCUCAAGACAGAAAUCAUCUCCAGUACCCCUCACUGAGCAGCUCCUCUGGCAACACUUUGCCAUGACUCCCUUGACGCUGGAGUGGGAUGUCAGGCAUCAUGAAAAACAAUGCAGGAUGUGAUUUAAUAAGGAGUAAACACCUGCCACAGGUACAUGCUGUCUUCUUCUCUUGUAAUUUUAAGAAAUUUAUAAAAUAAUAUUAUAAUAAAAAAAUAAAAUAGCAAAAGUAAUUGUUUAAAAAGAAAACCAACAAUAUGAUUUAUAAAGUCCCUUCCCACAGCGUUGCAGCCCUGUGUGUCAGUUAUCAGUCUAAGGAGAUUCAUCUAGUGCGGUAUGGUAGAGCUUUCCCCAAAGAUGGAAACGUGCUAAAUCUGUGCUGCCCAGUGUGCAGCCACUAGCAACACGUGUCUGUUGAGCACUUGAAUGUGACUGGUGCUACCCAGGAACUGAAAUUUUAAUUUUAAUUAAUUUAAAUGUCCUUGGCACAUGUGGCUAGUGGCAGUUACCCUGGAUAGCACAGAGACCUUUCUCUGUGUGCUUACUAAAAAUUCACAUGGAGAUUAAUAUUCUUUGUUCUUUUCCCUCAAAAAUAAAGUUAUAUCAUACACAAAUUCUGAAAUAUGCCAUUUUUCAAGUGAGAAUAGACCUUGGAGAGCUAUCUAUUUUGUAAUAACUUGACUUCUUUCUUUUUAAUCACUGGAUGGGAUUCUACUGAAUGGGUGGUUUCUAAAGUAUUAAUUAUUUUUAAAAUAAGAUAUGACAUUCUUGUGGUUUAAAAUGUAAAAGACUCUAAGGAGUAUAGCAAAAAAUUUCCCUUCCAUCCCUGACUCCAGCUUCUCUGUUCCUCUCCGCAGAAGCAAAUAGUGUUAAUUUUCUUGGAAAUCCUUCCAAAGAUAUUUUGUAUAUAUACAAUCAAAUAUACAUACUUUUUAUUUUAAAAAUGAUAAUUUAUUUUACCAUUUCUCUGUGUAUGGCACUUUCUCUUUUUACAAGUUCCUGUAAGACUUCUCUUAUUAUCUAAAUAUUGAUGACUUAUCUAUUGAAUAUAUGAGCCAUGUAUCAUUUUCAUUGAUAAUUUCUAUUAUCUAUAACUUGUUAAGUGUCAAUAAUGGCUCCUCUUUGCUGAAGGAAUGAGGGUAGAAUUUGCUAGCCCACAUACUUCUAAUUUUAGUUUAAACUUGUUUUCCAGUAUUCGUGAGGGAUUUUGUCUGGUCAAUUGAUAUUCUGUCAGCUGGACAGCUGGAGUUUAGGCCCUGGGGUAAAGCUGAGGCUGAGAGCAGGGAAGAUUUAGAAGCUGUCUGGCCCACAAACUGGCAUAUCCAUGCAUCUUGGUCACAGCGGUUAUCCAGGCCAACCUGCCGCAGAUCACAGAGACCCAGGAAGAGUGGCAAAAGCAGGUGAAACAGAGGUGGCAGCCUAAACUGAAAAUGUAUCCUGAUGUUGAGUAUCUACAUUUUUCCAGAUACAGUACCCAGAGUACAUCUUAAGGUAAGAUCAGAAAAACAUUUAUACUCAUAGGUUCUUAUAGUGGGCAAAAGUAGACUGUCUUGACAAGAGCUUGCCAGCAGUGGCACUCACUAAAUCCAUCAAUGGCUUUCCAAUGGGUGCAAGGCAAACACCAACUCCAUCAACACCAACAAGGUUUACCACCUUGACACAUAGACACCUGCUUCCCCUGCAGCCUCAGUGGACACAUCUCCUAACCAGAGCAUUAUCCCUGGUCACACUGUAUUUCUCACGGUUCCUCAAAAGUGCCGUGCUGCUCUUGCCUCCAAGUUUUUGUACAUCCUUCUUCCUCUGUGUGGAACACUCUCCCCAACUCUCUUUUUAGCCUCACCUUGGGCCUUGCCAACUCCAACCCAUCUUUUGGACCUCAGCUCGGAUGUCUCAUCCUUCAGGAUGCCUUUCCUGGUCCUCCAGAGAAACCGUUAGGUGUCCUUGGUGUGUGUUCUCAUUUCAUCCUGUACUUCACCAAUGCUGCUCUUAUCAUCCUCACCCCCACCCCCUCCCUGCCUCAUCCUAGACUCUGGAUGAUCCUGGGUCUUCUCUGUGAGAGUCAGGAAGUGUAUCUUCUGGUGUUUAUCAUUUUAUUGCUAGUGCCUAGCAUAAUGUUAGUAAGUAUGUGUUGACUGAGUGGCUGGGUCCAGAGAAGGGCAAUGCUGUCUUAGGAUUGCCUGGUGGUGAGGUUGGGGUGGAGGAGUGUGUUCUGUAUGAGUGUUUUGCACAAAUGUGUCUCUGUCCGUCCAAUGUGGAGACUGUGGAGGUGGAGAAGGGACCCACUGGUGGAGGCCAGAGUUGUCUUCAUUCUGCAGAUAAUCAUCUUCUGAUCUUAGGCAAAUCAUCAUACUCUCUGCUUCUCUAUUUCUUCAUCUAAAAGGGGGCUGAGAAUUAGGUGAGAUAAUAUAAGCAAAAGGACUUUUAAAAUAGAAUAUGAAUACUAUGAUUAUCCUGAGGUUUAGGCACUUGUGUUCAGGAAGAGCUAAUGGCCCCAGAGCCUGUAUUUACUGAUAGGCUAUGAAUGAAUGGGCCCUUGUAAACAUCCCUCACUGCCAUAUUGGAAGGAAAUUGGGAGAGCUAUUUUCCUGACAUAACCCUCCCCCCACCGUUGUGCCUCCCCACAGCCCUGACAGCUUCAGCCAUCUGCUACCAGCAGAAGUCCUUCAGGGCCUUCUAGUACAUUAUCCAGGUGCAUAGCUGGGGAUCCCCAUGGGACCCCCUUUCAUGCAAUGCCAAGGUAAACACAGUGAUAAAUGAACUUGGAGCUAACAAGUCAUUUUAGAGGUGAGAGGAUCUUGGAAAAUCUCUAUCCAAACUUGUUAUUUAACAUGCAGAGAACCUGAGGCCCUGGGUGAGUAAGUUGCCUGAAAAGUUGCAGCUUGCUCAUCACAUUUCUGGCUGGCUGUUUGUGUUGGUUAGAAAUCACAGGCCAGUGUGCUUCUCAGGACCAGCCAGCAUCGAGGACCUCUGAGAGAGUAGGUGGAGGAUAAGUUGAUGGUGCUUUUAGAAGAGAUGACUUCCAAAAGUAAGACUACCUCACAGCUUAUGAAAAAUAUCAUUUAUUAUACAACUAGUUACAAGGAUGACAUAUAUUUAACAUCAUAGAAAGAUGUUCAAGAACAUAUUAAGUUUAAAAGUUUACAAAACAGCAUGUACGCUGUAAUUCCAUUUGAAUAUAUAUAUAAGAAAAAGUGGAGGAAAACACUCAAAAACAUUAGCAAGAGCUUUCUCUGGUUGGAUGCUUUUCUCUUCUGUGUAUACUGCUGUUACUGUGUUGUCUGAAUUGCUUUUUGUAACAAUAAACAUGUUUAUACUUUGAAAAACGAACAAGGUUAUUUUCAUUUUAUAAAACAUAUAUAUUCCCUAAAUUAUUUCAACUUUCUUGUACUUUGAUUUCAUUUUUAUCAAAGAAAUUUUAUUAUCUGCAACGUACUCUUCUCAGUGAGGCCCCCAACUAUGACAAGGCCAAACCCAAUUCUGAACUUCAAUAAAAAAUAAUUCAAUUGCCAUUUGACAUUACAAAGUCAUCCCCUCUGAAAUUAGCUGCAGAGCACAGAUCACCUUCUAGUGAACUUGCCAAAUUCAGGUUAUGAUUCUGCCAAGGAAAAGACAAGACCCGGCCUGUGAUGACUCUGCAAAGGCCCAGCUUCCCGCCUGCCACCCGCUGAGGCCUCGCUAAGACAUCAGCCUGACCCACAGUCCUUAUGGGCACUGCUUGGGACUUGGGGUAAAGCAGCCUUACAAACCUUUGGUGGUGCAUGCUCAACUCUCUGUUGUGUAGAGAUAAAGAUCUUUGGUUUGGUGCAAAAGGGUGGCUAGCUGCUGCUGUGGAUGCUGGCCAGCAGCUGACAAUAGUAAGAGGCUUGCACAAUACAAACAGAGAAUGUGAAACAAAUUUUAUUUGGUUUGUAAAAGUGAGGUCCAAGUUAAUAGAAGGACAGAGAACUUGCCAAAAUGUCGGGGUGGGGAAGAAAGAGAGUAACCCUUAGAUAGCACAUCACAGAGUAUUCUUAUAAAUCACCUCAUUUCUUCUUCAAAAUACUACGAAGUUGUGAUGCAGGUAAUUAUUGCACACGCUGUAUAAUGAGGGCACUGAUAUUCCUCAAGGACACUAUGCUGGUAACACCAAAUCUGUGGCCUUUACUACUACCUCCCUAGAUGCAAGAUCUAUGUACACAGCAUGUCUGCUUAAAGCUCUGGAUGGGAAUCAGAGCUAUGUAUUAGUCAGGUGACCUUGUAGCAUUAUCUUCAUCUUUCUGAGCCUCAGCUUCCUCAUCUGUAAAAUGGGAUCAAAAUACCUGUCUAGCUUGCGUUGUGGAGUGGGGAUCUAACAAGAUAAUGGGUGCAAAAGUAGUUUGCUUUGAAAAUAGUGGGUUGUUAAAGGAAUAUAAAGUAUGAUCAAUCUCCCAGUACAGUACUGAGGGAUAUAGGUUGAGAAUAACCUUCUCUAAACAGAACUGUUGUUUUAGAACUGGAUAAACUUGAUACAGCCUACAAAAAUCUAACAACCCCCGCUAUUUCCCUAGGAAGCCAAACCUAUUUUCACACCCCUGUCCUAUGUAGGGUACACUCAGCUCUGAAGAUAGGUAAUCAGGUUGCUGGAGUGAGCUUGAGUUGAGGGAUCUUGGUGAAAUAGUUGCUGUGGGGCCCAUACUUUCAUCUUAAGAAAUUGUGUUUGCCUGCUUAUUUUAAAGGAUGGUUAAGUACAAAAACCUCAAGUCUGUGCUAUGGGUGAGAGGCCUGAAGGGAAAGCUCUAGGGUUCCCCAUCCUGCUUCAGCCAGAGAACUCUGCUUCUUUAGUGCUGUUUUAUGCUGUGGGGUGAAAUUUAUCUAAACAAAGCACUUCAUGAUUUAAAAAAAAUAAGUUGAAAAUCACUGCUGCUUGAAUCUGCAAAUCAGCAAAACUGCUUUUGUGCUGCAGGUCACCCACCCAGCCAACCAUUUAUCCCCCAUGUCCCGCCUGUCUUUUCUCUGCCUGACCUCACUAAUACCUGCUUUCUGUGAUCAGGCUUACUCCAGAACCUUUCCUCUGGGCAGUCCAGGUGUUUGGUUUUGCAUAAGGUAUUUUGUAAAUAGCCUGCAGAAUACAUAUGCAAAUUCAUGUGUAUUUUUGUUUGAUAAAAAAUGCUCAGCACUAAUACAUAAUGUGAUGUUUUAUGUUUUGUAUGUAUGUCACGUUUUCAUUUUCAAUAGAAAUAGUAAAGAAAUAAGGCAGAAUUGAAGGGCUGGUAUUAAUUCCACUUAAUACCAGCAUUUCUAUGAAUAGUUCUCAGCCUUCCUGCCACUAUGAGUAUAUUUUUCAUUUGAAUGCUAGCAACACAGAAUAAUUCCUACCACUACAGAUAUAUCCCGAUUAUUGUCGAAGGAAAGGGAAGAAAGAAGAAAUGAGAGGGAAAAAGAAAGGAAGGAGCAUAGGAAGAAUGGAAUUAGAAGCUGGUACAGAAAAGUAUGAGGUAAUUUACAAUUUUUGAAGUAGCUGACUAAGUGGAAGUACUACCGUGACAUGGGGUAAGAUUCUUCCCUUAGCCUCAGUUUGCUUAUCUGGAAGCUGAGGAAUAUGGAGAUAAAAAUAUUUGCUUUGCUAGACCUAAAAGAGAUGUUGUGAUGACCAGCUGAAUUAGUGAAUAGGAAAGGGACUUUUAGUUAAAAAGGGAAUUGCUGUUCUUUCAGUUGAAGAGUCUUGUCAGUUUUUUCAUGGUUUUUGAACAGAUGAUCUGAAUGAUUAGGAUCUUUCCCUUGCUCUAUUUAAUUUUGGAGCACCACCCAGGGAGAUUUAGUGAAACUUG
This is a long non-coding RNA of Sapajus apella (tufted capuchin), 8979 nucleotides long. RefSeq lists it as uncharacterized. NCBI's taxonomy places the organism in Eukaryota, Metazoa, Chordata, Mammalia, Primates, Cebidae. The record is from RefSeq and is a predicted model, not a curated record. The transcript has 3 exons.